GACGAACGCUGGCGGCGUGCCUAAUACAUGCAAGUCGAGCGGACGAAUCGAAAGCUUGCUUUUGAUUCGUUAGCGGCGGACGGGUGAGUAACACGUGGGCAACCUGCCCUGUAGACGGGGAUAACACCGAGAAAUCGGUGCUAAUACCGGAUAACACGAAAUGUCGCAUGACGUUUCGUUGAAAGACGGCGCAAGCUGUCGCUACAGGAUGGGCCCGCGGCGCAUUAGCUAGUUGGUGAGGUAACGGCUCACCAAGGCGACGAUGCGUAGCCGACCUGAGAGGGUGAUCGGCCACACUGGGACUGAGACACGGCCCAGACUCCUACGGGAGGCAGCAGUAAGGAAUCUUCCGCAAUGGACGAAAGUCUGACGGAGCAACGCCGCGUGAGCGAAGAAGGCCUUCGGGUCGUAAAGCUCUGUUGUUAGGGAAGAACAAGUAACGCAGUAACUGGCGUUACCGUGACGGUACCUAACGAGAAAGCCACGGCUAACUACGUG
RNAcentral lists this ribosomal RNA (498 nucleotides) under uncultured bacterium. RNAcentral's name for it is "partial 16S ribosomal RNA". It matches the Rfam family "Bacterial small subunit ribosomal RNA", at positions 28 to 507 of the family's 1533-position model. The record is from RNAcentral.